GCUGAGGUGUCCGAGUGGUUAAGGAGUUGGACUCGAAAUCCAAUGGGCUCUGCCCGCACAGGUUCGAAUCCUGUCCUCAGCG
RNAcentral lists this transfer RNA (82 nucleotides) under Spodoptera frugiperda (fall armyworm). Its description in RNAcentral is "tRNA-Ser (CGA) (tRNA-Ser-CGA-1-1)". It matches the Rfam family "tRNA". From Rfam's summary of the family: Transfer RNA (tRNA) molecules are approximately 80 nucleotides in length. Their secondary structure includes four short double-helical elements and three loops (D, anti-codon, and T loops). Further hydrogen bonds mediate the characteristic L-shaped molecular structure. tRNAs have two regions of fundamental functional importance: the anti-codon, which is responsible for specific mRNA codon recognition, and the 3' end, to which the tRNAs corresponding amino acid is attached (by aminoacyl-tRNA synthetases). tRNAs cope with the degeneracy of the genetic code in two manners: having more than one tRNA (with a specific anti-codon) for a particular amino acid; and 'wobble' base-pairing, i.e. permitting non-standard base-pairing at the 3rd anti-codon position. Lineage: Eukaryota; Metazoa; Arthropoda; Insecta; Lepidoptera; Noctuidae. The record is from RNAcentral.